Molecule: ribosomal RNA, 500 nt
Filed under: uncultured bacterium
Lineage: Bacteria
Description: partial 16S ribosomal RNA
Rfam family: Bacterial small subunit ribosomal RNA
Source: RNAcentral
AUUGAACGCUGGCGGAAUGCUUUACACAUGCAAGUCGAACGGCAGCACGGACUUCGGUCUGGUGGCGAGUGGCGAACGGGUGAGUAAUGUAUCGGAACGUGCCCAGUCGUGGGGGAUAACGUAGUGAAAAUUACGCUAAUACCGCAUACGAUCUAUGGAUGAAAGCGGGGGAUCGCAAGACCUCGCCCGAUUGGAGCGGCCGAUAUCAGAUUAGGUAGUUGGUGGGGUAAAGGCCCACCAAGGCAACGAUCUGUAGCUGGUCUGAGGGGACGACCAGCCAGACUAGAACUGAGACACGGUGCAGACUCCUACGGGAGGCAGCAGUGGGGAAUUGUGGACAAUGGGCGAAAGCCUGAUCCAGCCAUUCCGCGUGCAGGAUGAAGGCCCUCGUGUUGUAAACUGCUUUUGUACAGAACGAAAAGGUUUCUACUAAUACUAGGAGCUCAUGACGGUACUGUAAGAAUAAGCACCGGCUAACUACGUGCCAGCAGCCGCGGUAA